ACCACCGUUAGUGAUACGCAUAUAGUAGCAUAUCAUUAAUACCAGGGAUGUUUGCAAAAACGACAACUUCAUAUACUCAAUAAUGCCAUUGACAUUAACUGGGAUGCUGGUAACUCCGUUACACCAAACAGGACUAAACUAGAACUAGAUUCUUUGAAAGUGCAACUGACAUUUUUUUAACAGAAUCCUUUGUGCAGUACAAACUGAUCUGAACCGAAGCUGCGAGCAAACAAACAUACAUUUAAAAGUAAAUAGGUGGAAAAUAAAAGAUUUAUCAUCGUCAAUUCAUCAGCUGAAGGUGCACUCCAUGAGCUGCUGCACCAGGGCUUCCACCUCAUCGAAGUGCACUGCGGGCUGCUCGCUGUGAUUUCCAGAAAAGAUAAGAUGAGUAAGUAGUACUUGAGAUCGAGAGCAGAGGGAGGGCGUGGGCGAGGAACUGACAUCAGGGCGCGGAUGUCGUCGAGGAUCUGGUAGGCAUUGUUGAUGAAGAAGCAGGCGACCUCAGCGGCAGCCAAAAUCCAUAACCAUACGACUAGAGGGGAGGGGAAGGGCCUCACAUCGGUGUACAUGCCGGCGAUAUGGGCGUUGAGCUGCGCCCUCAGUGCUGCGGCUGCCAUGGCAAGGC
RNAcentral lists this long non-coding RNA (625 nucleotides) under Triticum aestivum (bread wheat). RNAcentral describes it as "long non-coding RNA (TAES_LNC002039)". The record is from RNAcentral. Lineage: Eukaryota; Viridiplantae; Streptophyta; Magnoliopsida; Poales; Poaceae.